Molecule: ribosomal RNA, 253 nt
Filed under: uncultured bacterium
Lineage: Bacteria
Description: partial 16S ribosomal RNA
Rfam family: Bacterial small subunit ribosomal RNA
Source: RNAcentral
UACAGAGGGUGCAAGCGUUAUCCGGAUUCACUGGGUUUAAAGGGUGCGUAGGCGGGUAAGUAAGUCCGUGGUGAAAUCUCUGAGCUUAACUCAGAAACUGCCGUGGAUACUAUUUGCCUUGAAUAUUGUGGAGGUGAGCGGAAUAUGUCAUGUAGCGGUGAAAUGCUUAGAUAUGACAUAGAACACCAAUUGCGAAGGCAGCUCACUACACAAUCAUUGACGCUGAGGCACGAAAGCGUGGGGAGCAAACAGG